CCCCCAUCACUCUAUAUAAAAGGCAAAGCAAACGUCCACCAGGGACAGGCACCGAGCAAAGAAGUCUGCAUUGAAGUCUACCAGAAAACCCCCUGCUCACCUGGUGUUAUCCAAGUAAAAGGUCAUCAUGCCGGACCCCGAAAUGGAGUGUUUUGGCGCGGCGGCCAUUUACCUCCGCAAGCCAGAAAAAGAGCGACUUGAAGCUCAAAACACUCCCUUUGAUGCUAAAACGGCAUACUUUGUGUCUGAACCCAACGAGAUGUACCUCAAGGGGAAACUUGUUAAGAAAGAGGGUGGCAAAGCCACAGUGGAGACACUCUGUGGAAAGGUGAGAAUGAAGGAACUAGAAUU
This is a long non-coding RNA of Morone saxatilis (striped sea-bass), 351 nucleotides long. RefSeq lists it as uncharacterized. The transcript has 3 exons. Lineage: Eukaryota; Metazoa; Chordata; Actinopteri; Moronidae. The record is from RefSeq and is a predicted model, not a curated record.